Molecule: ribosomal RNA, 301 nt
Filed under: uncultured bacterium
Lineage: Bacteria
Description: partial 16S ribosomal RNA
Rfam family: Bacterial small subunit ribosomal RNA
Source: RNAcentral
CAGUCGCCGCGGUAAUACGUAGGUGGCAAGCGUUGUCCGGAACUAUUGGGCGUAAAGGGCUCGCAGGCGGUUUCUUAAGUCUGAUGUGAAAGCCCCCGGCUCAACCGGGGAGGGUCAUUGGAAACUGGGAAACUUGAGUGCAGAAGAGGAGAGUGGAAUUCCACGUGUAGCGGUGAAAUGCGUAGAGAUGUGGAGGAACACCAGUGGCGAAGGCGACUCUCUGGUCUGUAACUGACGCUGAGGAGCGAAAGCGUGGGGAGCGAACAGGAUUAGAUACCCGCGUAGUCCCUGUCUCUUAUAA